Molecule: long non-coding RNA, 1207 nt
Filed under: Numida meleagris (helmeted guineafowl)
Lineage: Eukaryota; Metazoa; Chordata; Aves; Galliformes; Numididae
Description: lncRNA (ENSNMEG00000010443.1)
Source: RNAcentral
GUUUAAGUUUGUCUAGUACAACCAAGAGGUUGAUAGCUCUUUCUCUCCAUUCAUUUACGUUUAAGGAUGACUGUGGUUUUAAUGAAGCAGAAUAUUCCAAAUACUAAUGGAUCUUAAAUUGCUUAGUCUUACCAAGAGGUACUCCAAAUAGCACGUUUGCCUUGAGUGAUAUAAAGUGAUGAGUUAAUUCAUGUACUUGUGUCAAUUGCUUCAAGAUACCGAGAAUUAGCUGCAGUAGUGAUAUGCUCUUUUUUUUUUUUUCCUUUAUAUGUAUACGGGAAGGUGCGUAGGAAUGGAGAUUGAUUUAACCUCUACUGCACAGAGGAGAGAUCUGGUGGAUGUCCUACAAAUGUCAUUGACAAGACUUCUGCAGAGCUCCUGAAGCAAACUUAACAGAGCUGCUCUACUGAAAGCUUUCUGAAGUCGUUCCUGAAAUAUGAUUCAUAAUCUCUUGAGAUUAACUCAACGGCAAAAAUUAAAAUGUAGGUUUAAUUUGGCACCUUCCACUUAACUGAUUCCUAGUGUAUGAAAAAAUGCUUCAGUUAAGUACUUAAGAUGACAUUUAAUUGGUCCUGAGCAUCUUGCUGCUCUCUCUGAAAUCUCUGUACUCUUUAAAAACUUUAAUCGCUGUCUUUCAGGCAGGGUUAGACUUCUUAGGUACAUAAAAGCUUUAAAGGGGGACUGACUGAGAAAUUUGUUCCAAACUACACAGCUGUCCUCAGUGCCUCCGUACCUCCUGAUAAGAAAAGGGAUUGUUGGUGGGAAAGAGUUUUGAAAAACUAUCGGGGCCAGUUGUUGCUGAUUUUUUUUUUUUUUUUUUUUUUAGCUCUAAUUAAAUGAGAAGGAAGGCACCAGUAAAUAAGCAGCUGGAGGAAAUAAGGAAUUAUCCUUGCUUCUGACGAGACCUAUUUUAAACAUGUGAGAGGGUUAGUAGGCUCUUUUGCUGCUUUCUGCUUCUGUUGCAGUUAUAGCUCACGAGGCUGAAACUGAAGUACCAGACAAAGUAGAAAGUUAUCCGAAAUUGCUCUCUUGUUUAAAAGUAAUAUAUACGUUAUUGUUAGUCUUUCCAUGGCAUUAGUUCUUAUAGCUACAUUUCAGUGAAGUGUUUUUUGUAUGUUCACGUUCUCUCUUGCUUUUUCUUUUUGGCAGCACUGUUCCUUUCUAACAGUAUUUCAGUGCUUAGAAUUAAUGGCAAGCUAUAUUUUAU